Molecule: non-coding RNA, 133 nt
Organism: Protopterus annectens (West African lungfish)
Lineage: Eukaryota; Metazoa; Chordata; Ceratodontiformes; Protopteridae
Product: small Cajal body-specific RNA 8
Exons: 1
Source: RefSeq, a predicted model, not a curated record
UGGGAGGUUGAUGCACAAGUAGAGCCAUAUGUCUUCUCUAUUCGUUGUGGACUGCUCCCAAGAGAGAACUUGCCUUUGGUUGACUAGGAUGAAUUGAGAGAAGUCGUAACAGACAGAUAUGAUGCAAACAUUC